GUUAACGGCUUUACCACGUUGAAAGCACCGUUUCUCGUCGAUCAGCCAAGUUAAGCAACGUCGGGCGCAGUUAGUACGUAGAUGGGAGACCGCUUGGGAACACUGCGUGCUGUUGCCU
This 118-nucleotide ribosomal RNA is filed under the name Bemisia tabaci. The record is from RNAcentral. Lineage: Eukaryota; Metazoa; Arthropoda; Insecta; Hemiptera; Aleyrodidae.